AGAGAGGGAAAAAAAAAGGGCAAAAAAUGUUUAGCAGAGGGGAGAGAUGAACGUUUAACAUUGCAAUACAAAUGAAGCAUCAGCUGUGGUCCCAUUAUUCACUGGAGGAGCAGCUGAUGGGAGGACACAAAAACGACCUUGUGACAUGAGGAGGAAAAAACGAUGGAUAGCAAAGUAUGUGACCACCUAAUACAAGAAAAGAGGGGGCUUUAGACAAAUGAGUCAGCAUCUGAAAGGAUGUGAUGGAGUCCCCCAUCUUCUGCAUUGUUUUAAUGAGGCCAUCUCAGCCAGUUUCACACCUCCUCUCCUCCUGGUACCAAAUAGAGAGGAGUAGAAUGACAUUAGAGGAAGGAGAAGUGGGGGUCCAUCUGCUCUUCAUGAACACCUCUCUGACGUGGUGGUGCAGAGCAGCCAGUGCAUGAGGAUGCGUGUGAAUCGCCUCCUGAGAGUGCGGUGUCCGUACUAAUGUUAGAUCUCCUCAAUCAGCCAGCGUGUGCACGCUAAACACACGGCUGCUGCAGCCCCCUCCCCGACCGUAUUGAGAUUCAUGCAAUGCACAAUUAUGUCAGGGCUCUCUCAGCCACUUUUUCCCAUGUGAGCGAAGACUUGAAGAGGAAAGGUGGGGAAGGAUGAGGCCAUGAAGCGGACUUUUGAUGAAAAGAGAGAUGAAGAUGGGGAGCAAAGACAGAGAAAAGGAGGGGGAAAGAAUGUGAGCCAGCACCCUCACUGGGGGCAGUUACAGUGAGAAGCUAUUCUGUCUGUAAUGGAAGGGAUGGGGAGAGGAGAUUGUGUAUGGGGGAGGAGGAAGAGCAUUGAAAAGGAGAGUGCACUAUAAAAGUGAAUGAGUUUUGCUGCAGUAAAAAGCCAGAGUUAUUUGCUCUGUCUCUUUCUGUUCUCCCAGCAAGGUCAGAUUGUUUGCCUGUGGGCUGUGUUUCCAUCCAGAGGGGCUCACAAUGCUUGAGAAAAGACACGCGUUCCUGGCAAAAAAAAUAAAAAAUCCCAAGCAGACGCCGUAUUUAUGUUGUUAACCUUUUUCUCUAUUCAAAGGAAUGCACCACUCUCCUCCUCCUCCUCCUUUCCCAUGAGCUCUCACCCCCCCCCCCCUUCCACUACCUCUCUUUUGCUUCCUCUCUCGCUCUCAUAUUCCGCAUCAAGGAGUCAGAUUUCACUGAAGAAGGAGGAAUCAGCGCUUCACUUCUUCUUUCGGUCCCUCUGCUCCUCUUCCUCUCUCUUUCGGUCCCCACAUUAUUUUUUUUCCUCCUCUCACUGCAUCCCACUCUAAUUUUACACUUUUCCUCCAUUUUCCCCCUUCUUUUGCUUCACUCAUUGUUCUCUUUGUCAUUCUUUCCAAAGUAAGCUUCAACUCUUUCUUCCACUCAGACUUUCUGUCAUGCAAAACACCGCAGUUUUGUUUUCUUUUCUCCUUUGUUUUGUAUCUUUUACUGACACGAAGAAAACCUUUUGUACUGGAAAAAGUUUGCAAUUUAUCCUGUUUUAUUUUGUUUUAUUGAACCAUUAGAUUAUUUUUUUUUCUUCUUUUUGAAAUUCUGGUGGAAACUCCUCCCUUCCAUUCACUUUUUUUCUUACAGUAUGAGGAAAUUUAGAUUUGGCAACGCACAGCAUUUCCUGCCUUGGCCACCAUGUCCUGCGCCACCCUGCCACCACUGCCUCACUACUGCACACGGGAGGUAGCAAGCAAGACGGAGGGUAGAGGGGAAGGAGGGAGGUGGGCACAUGUACACACAUGCUCACCUUGCUGCAACGAAAAGGCUGCAGCGCCAACAACAAGAUCUGAUCUUUGAAACCUUGAGGCGAUCAACACUGCAGUGAACCGACAGACGCUGAAAAUGGGGUUUGAGGGAGAAUGGAGUGUUCGCACGGCUCAUGCACCAUACUGACGCUAAUAUAUAUUAGCAGAAACACUGCAGCAAAAGGUGGGGGGGGAGCACACGAUGAUGGGAUGCACUGACUGUGAGGCACCAACAGCCGUACAGCCGUAAUCGAGGGGGAGGGGAGAAGGAGAGUGCACACCAGAGGAGGAGAAGGAGGAAUUUUGGAGGAGUGCUGACUAUGCGGAACAGGAACAGCAGUUGGCAGAAAAAGUAAAAACCUUUACCAAUCACUCAGGGGGAGAUGGAAAGAGAGGUAGAAAAAGGAGCUGGGCAAGGGAAUGGACAAAAGGGACAAA
Non-coding RNA from Oryzias latipes (Japanese medaka), 2188 nucleotides. The record is from RefSeq and is a predicted model, not a curated record. NCBI's taxonomy places the organism in Eukaryota, Metazoa, Chordata, Actinopteri, Beloniformes, Adrianichthyidae.